UAAGACGAACCGUCCAAACGUUAUUCGGUAUCACUGGGCUUAAAGCGUGCGUAGGCGGCUUGGUAGGUGAGAUGUGAAAGCCCACGGCUCAACCGUGGAAUUGCGUUUCAAACCCCCGAGCUCGAGGAAGAUAGGGGUGAUGGGAACUUAUGGUGGAGCGGUGAAAUGCGUUGAUAUCAUAGGGAACACCGGUGGCGAAAGCGCAUCACUGGAUCUUUUCUGACGCUGAGGCACGAAAGCUAGGGUAGCGAACGGGAUUAGAUACCCCGGUAGUCCUAGCCGUAAACGAUGAACACUGGGUUGAGGGGACUUCCACAUCCUCUCGGCCGUAGCGAAAGCGUUAAGUGUUCCGCCUGGGGAGUAUGGUCGCAAGGCUG
This 377-nucleotide ribosomal RNA is filed under the name uncultured Planctomycetota bacterium. RNAcentral's name for it is "bacterial SSU rRNA". It matches the Rfam family "Bacterial small subunit ribosomal RNA", at positions 521 to 896 of the family's 1533-position model. The record is from RNAcentral. Lineage: Bacteria; Pseudomonadati; Planctomycetota.